RNAcentral lists this long non-coding RNA (500 nucleotides) under Gossypium barbadense (sea-island cotton). Its description in RNAcentral is "long non-coding RNA (GBAR_LNC003829)". Lineage: Eukaryota; Viridiplantae; Streptophyta; Magnoliopsida; Malvales; Malvaceae. The record is from RNAcentral.
UUUUCGUUAUCAAUAAAACUCUAAACACUGAAUUAUCGUUCAAACAAUAUUAUUUCAAUAUCACCCCACUUUCGUUCUAUGAUUUGGUUUUAUUAGGGUAGCAAAAGUAUUAUUAAAUUUGGGAAGAUAAUUUUAUUUUUGCAUUCAUGUUUUCAACAGAGUUCAGAGGAUAUUAAAUUUAAAAUUUAAUGCCUAAAUUAUAAAAGUUUGGAUAAUUUUUUUAUACUUCGAAAUACACGAUGAGAUUGGAUUGCAAAAAAAAAAAAGAGGUAGCGAACGAGACAAAAAGCAGGAUUAGUUUAUUGUGGGGAAAACAUAGGGAGGCUGCAGGCAAUGGAAAUGGCCAAUAAAGAAAAAGAAAAGAAAGCGGUUGGUCUACAACUCAGCUGAGAAAAAGUAAAAGAAUGGGGCAGGCCGGUGUGCGGUGGAUGCAGCGUUGAAUCCGUGGGCUAAAAUUAGAUGGUAGAGGAAUUAGUAGCGUCAAUUAAAUAAAUUAAUUA